This 764-nucleotide ribosomal RNA is filed under the name Ustilago tritici. RNAcentral describes it as "eukaryotic LSU rRNA". The stretch from base 252 to 406 matches the Rfam family "5.8S ribosomal RNA". Lineage: Eukaryota; Fungi; Basidiomycota; Ustilaginomycetes; Ustilaginales; Ustilaginaceae. The record is from RNAcentral.
GGGGUUAUUAUUAAACCUUUUUUUCGAGGUGUGGCUCGCACCUGUCCAACUAAACUUGAGCUACCUUUUUUCAACACGGUUGCAUCGGUCGGCCUGUCAAACAGUGCGACGCAAGGAGAAAAUCCUCGCGUCUGCUGGGCGACGGACGGACAAUUUUAUUUAACACUUUUGGAUGAUCUAGGAUUUGAAGGAGAAAAAGUCAUUUUUACGAAUGAAAUCGACUGGUAAUGCGGUCGUCUAAUUUUAAAAACAACUUUUGGCAACGGAUCUCUUGGUUCUCCCAUCGAUGAAGAACGCAGCGAAUUGCGAUAAGUAAUGUGAAUUGCAGAAGUGAAUCAUCGAAUCUUUGAACGCACCUUGCGCUCCCGGCAGAUCUAAUCUGGGGAGCAUGCCUGUUUGAGGGCCGCGAAUUGUUUCGAACGACAGCUUUUUUCUUUUGGAAAAGGUUGACGGAUCGGUAUUGAGGGUUUUUGCCAUUUACCGUGGCUCCCUCGAAAUAGAUUAGCGCAUCCAUUUUAUAGGCAAGACGGACGAAAGCUCGAUUUUUGCUCUCUCUUCCCUGCCGGGUUUUGAUACUAUCAGGACUUCGGAGAGGUUGAGAUGGGUAGGAGCUGGACGCAACGGCUUGCUGUUUGGAGUGCUUCUGAAACCCGCCCAUGCCGAGUUUUUUAGGAAGCUAGGAAGGGAUUUAUAAUAAUUCAUCGGCCUCAGAUUGGUAGGACUACCCGCUGAACUUAAGCAUAUCAAUAAGCGGAGGAAAAAGA